UUAGAGGAAGUAAAAGUCGUAACAAGGUUUCCCCAGAUCCUUCUGAAGCCUCUAACGCAACGACUAUAACCAUGUGUUGAGUCCACCCCCCGCGGUGGGCGACGUCACCUCUGUGCUGGGAUCCCCUCUGGUGAGAUCAGCAGCCGAACGUGUCCACGUUCGGUCCACAGAUUAGAUGGUGGCGGUCAGCGGUUGAUGCCUGCGGGCACGCCCUGAUCCAGAUAUAAUCGGUCUCCAUGGCCUCCAUGGAUGAGCAACGUUCCGUAGGUGAACCUGCGGAAGGAUCAUUA
This 290-nucleotide ribosomal RNA is filed under the name Verrucaria andesiatica. Its description in RNAcentral is "partial 18S small subunit ribosomal RNA". The record is from RNAcentral. Lineage: Eukaryota; Fungi; Ascomycota; Eurotiomycetes; Verrucariales; Verrucariaceae.